CCCUUAGAUGUUCUGGGCCGCACGCGUGCUACACUGAGUAAAUCAAUGGGUAAGGGAACACGAAAGUGCAACCUAAUCUUGAAAUUUGCUCGUGAUGGGGAUCGACGGUUGCAAUUUUCCGUCGUGAACGAGGAAUACCUUGUAGGCGCGUGUCAUCAUCACGCGCCGAAUACGUCCCUGCCCUUUGUACACACCGCCCGUCGCUCCUACCGAUUGAGUGAUCCGGUGAGGCUCUGGGACCUGGACGGAAAGAGCGUUUCGCUUGUUCUGUUUGGGAAACUUGGUCGAACCUUAUCAUUUAGAGGAAGGAGAAGUCGGAACA
Molecule: ribosomal RNA, 322 nt
Filed under: uncultured eukaryote
Lineage: Eukaryota
Description: partial 18S ribosomal RNA
Rfam family: Eukaryotic small subunit ribosomal RNA
Source: RNAcentral